AUUGAACGCUGGCGGCAUGCCUUACACAUGCAAGUCGAACGGUAACAGGUCUUCGGAUGCUGACGAGUGGCGAACGGGUGAGUAAUACAUCGGAACGUGCCCAGACGUGGGGGAUAACGAGGCGAAAGCUUUGCUAAUACCGCAUACGAUCUAAGGAUGAAAGCAGGCGACCGCAAGGCCUUGCGCGUUUGGAGCGGCCGAUGGCAGAUUAGGUAGUUGGUGGGAUAAAAGCUUACCAAGCCGACGAUCUGUAGCUGGUCUGAGAGGACGACCAGCCACACUGGGACUGAGACACGGCCCAGACUCCUACGGGAGGCAGCAGUGGGGAAUUUUGGACAAUGGGCGAAAGCCUGAUCCAGCAAUGCCGCGUGCAGGAUGAAGGCCUUCGGGUUGUAAACUGCUUUUGUACGGAACGAAAAGGCUCUGGCUAAUACCUGGGGCACAUGACGGUACCGUAAGAAUAAGCACCGGCUAACUACGUG
RNAcentral lists this ribosomal RNA (482 nucleotides) under uncultured bacterium. Its description in RNAcentral is "partial 16S ribosomal RNA". It matches the Rfam family "Bacterial small subunit ribosomal RNA", at positions 30 to 507 of the family's 1533-position model. The record is from RNAcentral.